This 497-nucleotide ribosomal RNA is filed under the name uncultured bacterium. Its description in RNAcentral is "partial 16S ribosomal RNA". It matches the Rfam family "Bacterial small subunit ribosomal RNA", at positions 28 to 507 of the family's 1533-position model. The record is from RNAcentral.
GAUGAACGCUGGCGGCGUGCCUAAUACAUGCAAGUCGAGCGAACGGACGAGAAGCUGGCUUUUCUGAUGUUAGCGGCGGAGGGGUGAUUAACACGUGGAUAACCUACCUAUAAGACUGGGAUAACUUCGGGAAACCGUGUCUAAGACCGGAUAAUAUUUUGAACCGCAUGGUUCAAGAGUUAAAGACGGUCGUUCGUUGACUUAUAGAUGGAUCCGCGCUGCAUUAGCUAGUUGGUAAGGUAACGGCUUACCAAGGCAACGAUGCAUAGCCGACCUGAGAGCGUGAUCGGACACACUGGAACUGAGACACGGUCCACACUCCUACGGGAGGCAGCAGUAGGGAAUCUUACGCAAUGGGCGAAAGCCUGACGGAGCAACGCCGCGUGAGUGAUGAAGGUCUUCGGAUCGUAAAACUCUGUUAUUAGGGAAGAACAUAUGUGUAAGUAACUGUGAACAUAUUGACGGUACCUAAUCAGAAAGCCACGGCUAACUACGUG